GUAACGCGUAUGCAACCUACCUUCUACAGGGGGAUAGUCAAUAGAAAUGUUGAAUAAUACCCCAUACGAUCAUGAAUUCGCAUGGAUUUAUGAGGAAAGUUCCGGCGGUAGAAGAUGGGCAUGCGUCCUAUUAGCUUGUUGGUGAGGUAACGGCUCACCAAGGCGACGAUGGGUAGGGGGCCUGAGAGGGCGAUCCCCCACACUGGUACUGAGACACGGACCAGACUCC
Molecule: ribosomal RNA, 229 nt
Filed under: uncultured bacterium
Lineage: Bacteria
Description: partial 16S ribosomal RNA
Rfam family: Bacterial small subunit ribosomal RNA
Source: RNAcentral